AUGGAACCUCUGCUGCUGUUCCUGGCCCUGCUCGCCGCCCCCGGCUGUGUCCUCUCCCAGGUGCAGCUGGUCCAGUCGGGCCCAGGGACAGUGAAGCCUGGAGAGACCCUCGCCCUGAGCUGCGCUGUCUCGGGUGUGUCCAUCAGUGACAGCAGCUACGCUUGGCACUGGGUCCGGCAGCCUCCUGUGAAAGGGCUGGAGUGGAUGGGAUACGUGUAUCCGUAUGCUGGGAGCACAGGCUACGCCCCGUCUCUCCAAGGCCGAGUCACCAUCUCUGGGGACACCGCCAAGAACCAGGUCUCGCUGCAGCUCCGCUCGCUGACAGCUGCAGACACCGGCACCUAUUACUGCGCCAGAAAAGUAGAGACAGUGACAGACACAGUGACACAGAGCAACGCAGGGCCUGUCACAAACACAGGAAGGGGUUUCUAG
Pelodiscus sinensis (Chinese soft-shelled turtle) is the source of this 432-nucleotide non-coding RNA. Lineage: Eukaryota; Metazoa; Chordata; Testudines; Trionychidae. The record is from the annotation of a RefSeq genome assembly.